CAGCGCCACAAGUGGGGGCCAUGAUUAUUGGGCCUAAAGCGUUCGUAGCUGGUUCUGUUAAUCUUUUGUGAAAUCGUUGGGCUUAACCUAACGGCGUGCAGGAGACACUGCAGAACUUGGGACCGGGAGGGGUUAGAAGUAUUUUUUGGGGGAGUGGUAAAAUGCAGUAAUCCCAAGAGGACUACCUGUGGCGAAGGCGUCUAACCAGAACGGGUCCGACAGUGAGGAACGAAAGCCAGGGGAGCAAACCGGAUUAGAUACCCGAGUAGUCC
This 272-nucleotide ribosomal RNA is filed under the name uncultured archaeon. RNAcentral's name for it is "partial 16S ribosomal RNA". It matches the Rfam family "Archaeal small subunit ribosomal RNA", at positions 477 to 747 of the family's 1478-position model. The record is from RNAcentral.